Molecule: long non-coding RNA, 477 nt
Organism: Clupea harengus (Atlantic herring)
Lineage: Eukaryota; Metazoa; Chordata; Actinopteri; Clupeiformes; Clupeidae
Source: Ensembl
GUGUGUGUGUGUGUGUGUGUGUGUGUGUGUGCUCUCUGGACUAGCAGUAAGACAGGUUAGCUACUUUAACACACUUAAACCCUCUUCUACAGUCGUGUGUUCGUGUGUGUGUGUGUGUGUGUGUGUGUGUGUGUGUGCACUCUCUGGACUAGCAGUAAGACAGGUAGGCUACUUUAACACACUUCAACCCUCUUCUACAGUCGUGUGUGUGUGCGUAUCUGUGUGUUUGAUAGUGAAAGAAGUAGCGAGAGAGAGGAAACGUGUGUGUGUGUGUGUGUGUGUGUGUGUGUGUGUGUGUGUGUGUGUUUAAUCAUAUCCGGGUGCUGGUGGGUUCAGAGCCUCUGCUGUCCUGACACAGACCACAGUCAGGAGCGAGAGGGGAGUGGAGAAGAGUAAGGCAGUGUGUGUGUGUGUGUGUGUGUGUGUGUGUGUGAGAGAGAGAGUCAGGAGCAGGAGUGGAAUGGAGAAGAGUAAGGC